Long non-coding RNA from Alligator mississippiensis (American alligator), 1497 nucleotides. RefSeq lists it as uncharacterized. The transcript is spliced from 2 exons. NCBI's taxonomy places the organism in Eukaryota, Metazoa, Chordata, Crocodylia, Alligatoridae. The record is from RefSeq and is a predicted model, not a curated record.
UUUAUUUAAAGCUAUACAAGCGAUCACAAGAAGGGCUCUCAAAAGAAAUCUGACCUCUACAAGUUUACAAGCAUAUUUAUACUUUAGACAGCGAGAAAAGAUGCAGGGUUCAGACAAAGCAACCUUGAGAGAAACAGAAAGAUGAUCAUUCAUUUGUCACACGUAAGCAGUUUACUUAUUCAGAAAAAAACCACUGUGUUUUGGCAACAGUUAUCAGCUUCCGGUUCAGAGGAGAGGAGGAGGUUAACAUCUGCACACAGAGCUUAAUAUAUCAAGACAAAACAAGAGGGAAGAGAGAGGAAAAACCUAUGAAAUAUCCCAUCCUGCCGCAGGGCGCUCAGGUGGAACCAAACCAGCUCUUCUGCACAGGAAACACGGAUGUGUUCAGAGAUCACCACAUCACCAUCACACUGCUCUGAUAUAACAUGUGACAUGGCAAACCUCUUCCAGAAGACUUUUUUUCCUACCCUCAUUAUUUCUUGCUACUUUUUUUCAGGGUGUCCAGAUACCUGGGCUGGGAAUAUUCCCAUUUGCCCGAAUCAAGUUAGAUCUCAGCGGCAACAAAUUCCUUGUAACACAAAAACCCGUGUUUCUCCUUUCUGAGAAACUUUGCCAGGCCUACGGGCUGAAACAAAGAGAAAAGCACACUGCUGGUAAGAAGACUGAUUACAGCCUCUGCCUUUCCUUGGACUUCAUUUUUAACACACCACAAUGAAAAUUAAUUUGGGCGGGGGGGGGGGGGGCGUGCCUGUAAGAACAGCUGUGUCUGAGAUGAGCAGAGCAUUCCUUCCAAAGAUUUUAACAACAGCUUAGACUCUGUCCAGACUCGAUGUCUUCACAGCCAGGGUUGGUUGUAUACUUUUUAAAAAUACUGUCCCAAGUCAGAACAUCUCUGUUUGAAAUGUUCUUCUCACUUCUGUUCCUGGAAUCUCAUCGCUCUGCUAUUAUCACAAUGCCUACAGUCUGCCAAAUCAUUUGUUAUGGGAUCAGCUUGAAACACAGCUGGCAAGAACAGUGGUUUCUAGAAGUACAGAUACAGUGGUAUCUGUUUGGAAAGAAAGCAGUUUUCUGCCAGUGCCACGGUGUUUGCAUUGCAACGAGGAGGGAUGGUGUAGAUCAGUGGCUCUCAACCCGUGUAGACAGAACGCACCCCUCUUCUCCUGGUCGAGCUCAUAGGAGUGAGCUAUAUUUCUACGUAUCUAAUGGUGUAUUGGGUAUCUUUGUAUCAAUCUAGCUGUGGUUUGAACAGUUUCAUUAUGAAAAAAACAGAUUGUACUCCUAAUUGAAAUUGAGAAUCUAGUGGAAGAACCACCAUGAAUGAACUCAUGUGAAGCACCAUCAAUAAUUCACUGAGAUCUGGGACAGCUUUUUUUUCUAACUGGGGCUGUUUUGGCAUUUGCUGGUGUGGAGCUCUGUGAUAAGUUCUGUGUAGCAGCUUUUCCAGGACAUUCCGUAGUUUCAACCUAUGCUCUAAAAAUACAUCCCUCUACACCCCAA